UACGUAGGUGGCAAGCGUUAUCCGGAAUUAUUGGGCGUAAAGCGCGCGCAGGUGGUUUCUUAAGUCUGAUGUGAAAGCCCACGGCUCAACCGUGGAGGGUCAUUGGAAACUGGGAGACUUGAGUGCAGAAGAGGAAAGUGGAAUUCCAUGUGUAGCGGUGAAAUGCGUAGAUAUCUGGAGGAACACCGGUGGCGAAGGCGGCAUCCUGGACCGGCAUUGACGCUGAGGCGCGAAAGCUAGGGGAGCAAACGGG
Molecule: ribosomal RNA, 253 nt
Filed under: uncultured bacterium
Lineage: Bacteria
Description: partial 16S ribosomal RNA
Rfam family: Bacterial small subunit ribosomal RNA
Source: RNAcentral